UACGUAGGUGGCAAGCGUUGUCCGGAUUUACUGGGCGUAAAGGGCGCGUAGGCGGCGUGUUAAGUCACUUGUGAAAUCUCUAAGCUUAACUUAGAACGGUCAAGUGAUACUGAUGUGCUAGAGUGCAGAAGGGGCAACCGGAAUUCUUGGUGUAGCGGUGAAAUGCGUAGAUAUCAAGAGGAACACCUGAGGUGAAGACGGGUUGCUGGGCUGACACUGACGCUGAGGCGCGAAAGCUAGGGUAGCAAACGGG
This 253-nucleotide ribosomal RNA is filed under the name uncultured bacterium. RNAcentral's name for it is "partial 16S ribosomal RNA". It matches the Rfam family "Bacterial small subunit ribosomal RNA", at positions 524 to 776 of the family's 1533-position model. The record is from RNAcentral.